RNAcentral lists this ribosomal RNA (425 nucleotides) under uncultured bacterium. RNAcentral describes it as "partial 16S ribosomal RNA". It matches the Rfam family "Bacterial small subunit ribosomal RNA", at positions 354 to 796 of the family's 1533-position model. The record is from RNAcentral.
GUGGGGAAUCUUGCGCAACGGGCGAAAGCCUGACGCAGCCAUGCCGCGUGAAUGAUGAAGGUCUUAGGAUUGUAAAAUUCUUUCACCGGGGACGAUAAUGACGGUACCCGGAGAAGAAGCUCCGGCUAACUUCGUGCCAGCAGCCGCGGUAAUACGAAGGGGGCUAGCGUUGCUCGGAAUUACUGGGCGUAAAGGGCGCGUAGGCGGACAGCUUAGUCAGAGGUGAAAGCCCAGGGCUCAACCUUGGAAUUGCCUUUGAUACUGGCUGUCUUGAGUUUGGGAGAGGUGAGUGGAACUCCGAGUGUAGAGGUGAAAUUCGUAGAUAUUCGGAAGAACACCAGUGGCGAAGGCGACUCACUGGCCCAAUACUGACGCUGAGGCGCGAAAGCGUGGGGAGCAAACAGGAUUAGAAACCCUGGUAGUCC